Molecule: non-coding RNA, 513 nt
Organism: Ceratotherium simum simum (southern white rhinoceros)
Lineage: Eukaryota; Metazoa; Chordata; Mammalia; Perissodactyla; Rhinocerotidae
Source: the annotation of a RefSeq genome assembly
AUGGGCUCCAGGCUCCUAUGCUGUGUGGUGCUUUGUCUCCUGGGAGCAGUCCCAGUGGAUUCUGGAGUCACCCAAACACCAAGACACCUGAUUAAAGCAAGAAGACAGCAAGUGACAAUGAGAUGUUCCCCUAGUUCUGGGCACACUCGUGUAUUUUGGUACCAACAGACCCUCAACCAGAGCCCACAGUUCCUCUUUCAGUAUUACGAGGGGGAAGAGAAUGAUAAAGGAAACAUCUCGGAUCGAUUCUCAGGGCAACAGUUUAGUAACUACAGCUCUGAGCUGAACGUGAGCAUCUUGGAGGUGGCGGACUCGGCCCUGUAUCUCUGUGCCAGCAGCGUGGCACAGCCCUGCAGAGUCACCAACGUUCUGUGCACAAAGCUCCCUGCCCCAACGUGGAGCAACCUCAGAGCUGACAGAACUGUGAGAACCUCGGGUCUGCAGUGGGAAAGAGAAAUGACUCAGGGCCCUGGAAAGUGCAGCCUUGAACUCCUCUGCCACCCAGGGACAUGA